RNAcentral lists this ribosomal RNA (233 nucleotides) under uncultured bacterium. RNAcentral describes it as "partial 16S ribosomal RNA". It matches the Rfam family "Bacterial small subunit ribosomal RNA", at positions 57 to 305 of the family's 1533-position model. The record is from RNAcentral.
GCAAGUCGAACGAAGUCUUCGCUUGCUGGAUGUCCUUAGUGGCGAACGGGUGAGUAACGCGUGUGGACCUACCUUGGAGCGGGGAAAAACUAUUGGAAACGAUAUCUAAUACCGCAUACGCGCUCAGAGGGAAAGGCUUGGGCCACUGAAAGACGGUCCCGCGUCUGAUUAGCUAGUUGGUGAGGUAAUGGCUCACCAAGGCGACGAUCAGUAGCUGGUCUGAGAGGAUGAUC